GUUUCGUCCUGCAGCCACCACAAUGGCGAAGAUGAUGAGGACACCAUUGGCACCGGAAAUGGUCACAGCUGUAGGGGAGCGGUGGCGCACGGCAACAGAAUGCCUGUCUGAAUACAACAGACCAUAGAUAAUAUACCAACAUAUACACUAGGAGAAAGGGACCGGCUCACCUCCCUCUUCUCCACCGGCGAGACGUCGGAAGAGAAGAUGAAGGGGCCUGAAGCGAUGGGAUCUGGCUGAGCUAUAGUAGAAAGGGUAGGAAGAGAAUAUGGACAGGAGAAGCUUUGCGCACGAGGGUUGCGAGUCUGUAUUAUGCUAUUUAGAUAGGCAUUACAUAAGGCAUUACAUUAAAUGAAUGAUGGUUUAGUAAUGAGAAAAAUUAUAAUCCUAAUAUAUUCUUUUUGAAAAUGCUUAUAAAUAAUUUGAUCUAUGUGAACUAAUCAAUUGAUCUAUGGAAAAAUGUUUAGGUUGAUUAGAUAUUGAAAUUAGAAAGACUAUAAAUAAUUAAUAAAAAUAGACGUGCCGAUGAGACCUUCGUUGAGCACAACAAAUAAAUACAAAUAAGUUUUAAAUAAUAAGAGAAUUUAUAAAAAAUAUCACUUUAGUUUUAAAAAAUAAAGGAAUAAAUAUCACUGAAUUUUAUGAUGAUUUAAUGACCUUGAUUAUCCUGUGAGGUUACCCUAGCCUUGAUUUACCUUGAUAUAACUUUGAUGGUCUAAGAAUUUACUUGGUCUCGAAACAACAAAACAAAAUUUAUUUUUUCAAGUUUAAAAAGAUACCAAAGGUUAGUAGAAAAGCUAGAUACCCGCGCUAUUUGCGCAGGCCACCUUGCUAGUUUAUUUACCUUGAUUGUUUCUAUUUAGACGACGAUCACGAACUCAUGAUAGGGAGCGCAAAGGGCGCCUACUGUUCUAGUUUCCCCAAUUAUCACUCCAUACUCGAGCUUUUACUCUUGCAUUGCUGUCUCAUCCAUGUUUCCCUAAUUGUUACUCCCAGCAGGAUAGACAAGGCAUUGACGCCCAGGUAGUCCAAGGUACUAGGAAGAUGGACAAGGAGGUUGAUCUAUUGGUGGCAACUUUAAAAAGUGCAGGAAAGGCGGUAGACGACGAGACGGUCAAAAUCAUAGAGGACGAGAUAGCUAGAAUUAAAGACGAAACAGCGAGAGGGGCCGCCAGGGAGGCAACAAGAAGAAACCAGGGGAUCAGCUGGCGGCGUCUAGCUGCCCUCGCAGCAUCUUGCGCUGUUGGUUUUUGGCUUGGAGUGGAACUUUUUAAACGGGCUACCAUUAAAGAACUCACCGAGGGAUCGCACGGGGAGCUUGGAUUUUACUUGAUGUUAAAUGCUCUAGCCAAGCACUACCAGAAAAUAGAAGAUUUUACCAGGAAAGGCUGAUGUUGUUAAAAAGUCAUAAGAGGCCGGGACCGGGAGGAAUCGGUGCUUAUUAGCGUAGGUUUGCCAUGGUUUUCUAUUUUCCCCCCAACUUUGUGGUAAUGGAUAUUUAAGUAACUCGAUUGUGUCUUGGAAAAAGCUUCUGUUUAGCCAUA
Molecule: long non-coding RNA, 1544 nt
Organism: Panicum virgatum (switchgrass)
Lineage: Eukaryota; Viridiplantae; Streptophyta; Magnoliopsida; Poales; Poaceae
Exons: 2
Source: RefSeq, a predicted model, not a curated record